RNAcentral lists this ribosomal RNA (247 nucleotides) under uncultured bacterium. Its description in RNAcentral is "partial 16S ribosomal RNA". It matches the Rfam family "Bacterial small subunit ribosomal RNA", at positions 523 to 769 of the family's 1533-position model. The record is from RNAcentral.
AUACGAAGGGGGCUAGCGUUGCUCGGAAUUACUGGGCGUAAAGGGCGCGUAGGCGGAUGUUUAAGUUGGGGGUGAAAGCCCGGGGCUCAACCUCGGAAUAGCCUUCAAUACUGGGCAUCUUGAGUACGGGAGAGGUGAGUGGAACUCCGAGUGUAGAGGUGAAAUUCGUAGAUAUUCGGAAGAACACCAGUGGCGAAGGCGACUCACUGGCCCGUUACUGACGCUGAGGCGCGAAAGCGUGGGGAGC